UCCGGUUUGUCACCGGCAGUCUCAUUAGAGUGCUCAACUGAAUGUAGCAACUAAUGACAAGGGUUGCGCUCGUUGCGGGACUUAACCCAACAUCUCACGACACGAGCUGACGACAGCCAUGCAGCACCUGUGUUCAGGUUCCCUUUCGGGCACCUCUGCAUUUCUGCAGAGUUCCUGACAUGUCAAGGGUAGGUAAGGUGGGGAUGACGUUUCCAGGUUAGG
RNAcentral lists this unclassified non-coding RNA (222 nucleotides) under uncultured Gammaproteobacteria bacterium. Its description in RNAcentral is "contains 16S-23S intergenic spacer region". The record is from RNAcentral. Lineage: Bacteria; Pseudomonadati; Pseudomonadota; Gammaproteobacteria.